This 73-nucleotide transfer RNA is filed under the name Felis catus (domestic cat). It matches the Rfam family "tRNA". Rfam says of the family: Transfer RNA (tRNA) molecules are approximately 80 nucleotides in length. Their secondary structure includes four short double-helical elements and three loops (D, anti-codon, and T loops). Lineage: Eukaryota; Metazoa; Chordata; Mammalia; Carnivora; Felidae. The record is from Rfam by way of RNAcentral.
ACCUGGCUGGCUUAGCUGGUAGAGCAUGUGACUCUUGAUCUUAGGGUCAUGAGUUCAAGUCCCAUGUUGGGUA